UGAAGAGUAAUGAAGGGAGUCAAGGCAAAGGAGCCAGUGCAGGUUACCUUCACUUUAUAACCAUUUGGAAGAGUAACAAGGUAAGGCAGAGUUAGAGGGAUAAUAUUAAAGAGUAGAGUCUUAUCAUGAGUCAUAUGAUUAGAGGCACCUGAAUCUAUUAUCCAGGUGACAGAAUUAAUGUGAGUGAGCAAGCAAAGUUUAGAAUCAGAUACAGGGUUCUCAGUCAAUAAAGUACCAGCAAAGUUUGCAGCAUAUAAGGGAGAAAGAUCUUGAGCAGUGGAUUCUCCCAGAUUGGACUGGUGUAACAUGUUCAUCAGCUGGUCAUAAUCAUGUUUGCUCAACCCAGGGAUCACAGAGCUUUGACCAUCUAAGCUUGCAGCAGACUGAUGGUUAGCAGAAGGAGUCCCUUGAGGAACAGACAACAAUCCAUCAGAUAUAUGAGAAUCCAGACCAGUACUCAGAUGAGCAGCAGCAGGCCUCCUUCCCUUGUUAAAUGUGGGACUUUGUGGAUACCCAUGCAGCUUGAAACACUUAUCAAUUAAGUAUCCAGACUUUUUACAGUAUCGACAAAACAAAGGUCCCUUG
RNAcentral lists this long non-coding RNA (585 nucleotides) under Nicotiana benthamiana. Its description in RNAcentral is "long non-coding RNA (NBEN_LNC014834)". Lineage: Eukaryota; Viridiplantae; Streptophyta; Magnoliopsida; Solanales; Solanaceae. The record is from RNAcentral.